UCAUACAUUGGUCAUAUUCAAAGUCCUCAUGUGUCCAGGUGUAAUAGUGUGAUGUUGUUGCGCUAUAUUAUGAACUAGACAGGGUAUUAUAUUUAUUUUGAAGUAACGCUUUUAUUUUGAAGAACCGGAUGUCCGGUGCGGGAAGUGUCUUUGCUGUUUUUCGAUUGCUUUACUUCCUCUUCCUUCGGACUUCUGAACGAGAAGGAGCAGAUAUCACUCCGCCAGAAAGUUGAGACCUGUGUGUGUGUUUUGUGUUUCCAACACAGGAGCAGAUAUCACUCCGCCAGAAAGUUGAGACCUGUGUGUGUGUUUUGUGUUUCCAACACAGGUUUCCCAAUAAAUACUGAACCGAC
Molecule: long non-coding RNA, 353 nt
Organism: Nerophis lumbriciformis (worm pipefish)
Lineage: Eukaryota; Metazoa; Chordata; Actinopteri; Syngnathiformes; Syngnathidae
Source: RefSeq, a predicted model, not a curated record